Molecule: long non-coding RNA, 23626 nt
Filed under: Triticum aestivum (bread wheat)
Lineage: Eukaryota; Viridiplantae; Streptophyta; Magnoliopsida; Poales; Poaceae
Description: long non-coding RNA (TAES_LNC006250)
Rfam family: MIR1120/MIR1122 microRNA precursor family (bases 16518-16631)
Source: RNAcentral
GCGACCGCCUCCUCCGCUCCAACCCGGUCCACAAGAAGGUCCCGGUGCUCCUCCACGACGGCCGCCCCGUGUACGAGUCCCUCAUCAUCCUCAACUACCUCGACGACGCCUUCCCGGACACCCCCUCCCUCCUCCCCUCCGACCCCUACGAGCGCUCGCAGGCUCGCUUCUGGGCCGACUACGUCGACAAGAAGGUCUACGACUGCGGCACCCGGCUCUGGAAGCUCAAGGGCGAGCCGCACGCGCAGGCGCGGGCCGAGAUGCUGGAAAUCCUCAAGAAUCUGGACGGGGCGCUCGGGGACAAGCUCUUCUUCGGCGGCGACGUCUUCGGGUUCGUGGACGCCGCGUUCGCGCCCUUCACCUCGUGGUUCCACAGCUACGAGAAGUACGGCGAGUUCAGCGUCGCCGAGGUGGCGCCGAGGGUCGCGGCGUGGGCAAAGCGGUGCGGCGAGCGGGAGAGCGUCGCCAAGAGCCUCUACUCGCCGGACAAGAUUUACGAGUUCAUCGGCGUGCUCAAGAAGAUGCACGGCGUCGAGUAAGUCGGCCGGCCGGUCGGAGAAGCAAUAAGUUCGAUCCACUGAAAAAAAAAUAGGGCGCUAUAGCCUAUUGAGAAUUGUCUCGUUAAAUAAAACGGUGUACAAUGUCUGGCUAAUAGCACGCUAUAGCGUGAUAUAGCACGCUAAUAGUAUAUUUUGAGGUUGAUGCUAUUUUUCUGUAGCGCGCUAUUUUUUCAUUGGUUCGAUCGUGUGUACGAUUAUUGGUGGUACGUAGUACUGUAGUUGUUCGUUUGGUCGUGUACUUGUGACGUGUGUGUGUCAAUGGUAGUCUUCUUCAGUGGGGGCAGCACCGAGUUGCCACCUGCCAUUCUAUUCCAUGUGAAGAAUAAUUUAAUAAAGGGUAUAUUUGGACUUCUACUGGUGCUGACAAUUGGUUCUGUGGCAUUUUGUUUCAACAUUUGACGAGCGCGGGAUUACUUUAUCAUACUUCAAAUCAAAUACAUAUAUAAUAGAAGGAUUGGACCGUUUUGCUGCCCUCGUGUUGUUGGGUUUUCAUAGUCUAUUUACUAUCUGUUUCAAUAUAAAGGUGUAUUUGUUUUCUAGAAAAGUCAAAUAUUUUUAAGUUUGAUCAAAUUUGUGAAGAAAUAUAACAAUAUUCGUAAUAUCAAAUUGGUAUCAAUAUAUUCAUCGUGAAAUGAACUUUUAUAUGUCAUUUAUUUGGUAUUGUGAAUGUCGAUAUUUUUGGCUCUGGAGUUCGUAUGUCAAAGUCAACGAAAUUCAACUUUCAAAAAACAACUACACCUUGUAUUUUGAAAUUGNNNNNNNNNNNNNNNNNNNNNNNNNNNNNNNNNNNNNNNNNNNNNNNNNNNNNNNNNNNNNNNNNNNNNNNNNNNNNNNNNNNNNNNNNNNNNNNNNNNNNNNNNNNNNNNNNNNNNNNNNNNNNNNNNNNNNNNNNNNNNNNNNNNNNNNNNNNNNNNNNNNNNNNNNNNNNNNNNNNNNNNNNNNNNNNNNNNNNNNNNNNNNNNNNNNNNNNNNNNNNNNNNNNNNNNNNNNNNNNNNNNNNNNNNNNNNNNNNNNNNNNNNNNNNNNNNNNGAGUGUUUUUAUUUAUUUAUAAUGUGGUAUUUUGAUGGGGCCUUUCGCGGUAUGAAUUUGUGUUAUCUAUUAAUCAAUCAAUACUUAUGUGGGACAAAUUUCUACGUCGAUGAUUGCAUGUACCAUUUUGGUGCUACAAUACCAUGUUAACGUUAUUUCCUAGGUGGUGGGAAUGUGCGCGGGAUUAUUAUAGUUUUAUCGUUUGCUGCUGACUGAUUAGAAAAACUGUUGACUUGGUUAAAUCAUGAACCAAAUUCAAAAUUGAAUACCUCAAUUCAAUGGAAAAGUUUCAAAAUUAAGGUGCAUAGUUAAUUAAAAUAAUGAAUGAAGGAGAUUGUUAAGAAAUUAUUGACUUGGUCAAAAUUAGAUGACCCCAUUCUAAAUUGAAGACCUCAAUUCAUUAUGGGACCUUAAAAAUUAGGGGCUAGUGCUAUAGAGGAUUAGAAGCAUGUGUGUGAUAGUAUCUAUUCUAAUUUUCAAAAAUCGAACCAAUAUCCGGAGGAGUAAACCAUCAACGAAUCACAAAAUGUAGUAAUACAUAUUUGAAGUGUGUGUGUGUGUGACAAUAUCUAAGCUAAUUUUCAAAAUUUGACCCAAAAUCCAAAGGAGACACGUAAUAUCGACUGUAACCCAUCAACGAAUCAUAAUGGGCCUUCGAACGACAACAUAAAUGAUUUUUAACAUAGAUCGACGAAAUCACUUGUUAAGGGUUAGGCCAACUCCAAAGCGGCGCCCCUUUCCAUCCGUUGGUGCAUGUUUGGGUCUGCGCGGCCAAACCAAUGGCCUUGCGCGUGACUGCAAACGCAAAAUUUGUCUGUCACGUGUCCGUCUGAGCAAAUUUGGGACCGAUUUUCGUCUAGAUGGACACAAGUCGGACACGUCGCGCGUCCUUUCGUCGUGUGCCUCAGGCCGGCGUGUCGGCCGGCCAACCACCAACCCGUCCCCACUUAAUCCAUGCAUGUGGAAGGGUCCCGCACGUCAGCCAGUCAGCCCCCUCCACCCCGGUCCUUUUAAUGCCACACGUGCGGGUGGAGGGGCCGGCUGUUGGAGAUAUGCCCUAGAGGCAAUCAUGUGAUGAUGAUAUUUCCAUAUGUAUUCAUGAGUCCUUUGUGUUGUCCUUGAACAUCAUCAAUGCUAUGUAUCAAUAAGUAUGUGACUUGUUUGUGAAACUAUGUAUUGUAUGAUGAUUGUUCUAAUGGUCCCUAGUCGAUAAGGUUAUGCGGACACAUAUCCUUGACUAGUAUACGACUCGGUUGAUGACUAUGUUUCACGAGUCAUGUGCAUGGAGAUGCUAAACAGAUAGUAUGGACUCGGGGAUGGAGAUCACCGAGUCGGACAGACCCACUUUGAGACGCGGCGAGAUAUAGUCAUCCGUUAGUCUCAAGUACAAUGUCUAUGACAUGUCCUAGACCUGAGGUCCUCACAUGUUCUCGGGAUGAGGAUCGACUCACUUAGGGUCUAUCAAAUGCUAUUCCGUAACUGGGUAGUUAUAAAGGUAGCUUUUGGGUGAGUCGUGAGACAUGCCGCAAGACAUGGUUGACCAAGACAGGAUUUGCCCCUACUAUUUGGAGAGAUAUUCUCUAGGCCCUCUCGAAUGAUCAGAUUCAGAAAGCAUGUCCAUGCGACUUGGGUUAAGUGUUAAUCCAGUUCGGGAAUCUGUAUCACGGUUUCGAGAAGAGAGGUCGAGCUAUCACAAGGGUGACAAGUACUCGCCUUGAGAUCGACAACAAAUAUCAUGAGGUAAAAGGAAUGUUGCAUAUGACACAUUGUCGAGGUUCGUCAAACGACUUUACGCACACAUGGGAGUUGGCACGUUCUGCUAGGAGCCGCUACCAACUAUCGACUUGGUCGUGUCCAUGCGUACGUGAACCUAUAGGAUCGGACACUUAUGGGGAUGCAGCCCAUUCAGAUUGGAUCCGAGUGGAAAAUGGAUGUGGACUCCUAGUGGGCUCAAGUGUUGAGCCCACCUCGGAUAUCUAUAUAAAGGGGAGUGGGCACACCACUUAGGUUAACCUUUUCUAACCCUGGUUCGCCACCGCCACUCCCUACGUCCAUGACGUGCGACUGGACCUAGCAGUCCGCUGCCCGCCACUGCACCCCGCACGUGUGGAUACCUUGGAGGCAUCGCAUCUGUGGUGCUUGGAUGAACAGUUCGAGUGAACCGUGAGGUGCCGUUUGCGGGAGAUCACCGUUCACGGGUCUUCGCUGUUCGUGGGAGAUCACCGUUCACGGGUCACUGUUCGCGGGAGAUCACCGUUCAUGGGUCUUUGUUGUUCGCGGGAGAUUGGCGACGCUAGGAGGAGAUGGCCCGGAGAUCGGCUACAUGCAUCACCAACUCUACUUCCACUGUGGUGACUGCGUGUCCAGUGGUAAACCCGAUCCCGUGAUCUAUUUCCAUCAGCAUGAUCUUGGGUGCGCGGUAGAAAAUUUUAUUUGGCGCUAGCGUAGCGUACCGCGUGUUUCAACAGUGGUAUCAGAGCCUCUGCUGUGUGGUGAUAGAUUCGAUGAUAUGCAUAUGAUAUAUGUAGAUCGGUUCAGGUGCGGGUUGAUGAGAUCGGUCGCUCACGUCAGUGUUGAUGGUUGGUUUCGUGAUCUUAUUUCCGUGAUCGAGACACAGAGGUCGUGACACGAGUUACCCCUACCGGUCGGUUUCCGCCAUCGGGGUAGACAGUGGAACGUAAAUCCGGAUGCAGCACGCGAAGAUCAAUGAGAUUGAUCGAAUCGGAACAUAGAUCAACAUCGUGGAAAUGUGAUUUCCGCAGUGCUGAAAUUUGUUGGAGUGGUCUCGGUAAAAUGGCUGUAACUUUUGCAUACAAAGUCCGUUUUUGCUCUACGACAUGUCAAACUGAAGCUAACGAAAAGUUGGAUUAGCAGCGUAAUGUCGGAACAAGAUUUUGGCUCUUCUGGCUAGGCCAAAAUCCUCUUGGAAAUAGAGUUUCGGGAGGUUUUAUCUUCGGCGGUAGAACGCGUGACUCGUUUUUGCAGGGAAUGCUUGUGAUUUGGUAUAGCCCUUGAAUGUUGCUUGUACAUUAUUGUUUCAUGACCUGCGUGUCUUGAGUGCGGCAACCGAAAGGAGCCAUAUGAUUGUCCAUUAUUGUAUUAAUGAUCGGCGUGUCAACAUAAGAGGCCAUGUAAUGUAAUUUACUUUCAGUAGCUAUUAGUUUGUAAUAGCAUAGUAUCUUAUGUAACACUUGGCGGUUGACACCAUGGCGUGGAGAUGGAGAUCACCACAAGGACAACCAUGCAUGGAGAUGGAGAUCACCAUGGGCAGACCGCGCACGUGGAGAUAGAGAUCAUCAUGCGUUGUGAAAAGGGGGUUAUACCAUAUCACGCAUAUAUAAACUGCAUGUGAAAGUUUAUCCCUUUUAUGCACCCUUCUUUUCCCUGGUAGAUGUUUUAAGUAGGGUGAUCCCUCAAAGAAUGUCAAGUUUAAAUGCCUCCCCAAUUGCUGCACCUUCACAUGUCAAGUAUAUUUAGUGAUGGGCCUAUAAAAUUAGGGUGCCACUAUAUCUCCUUGAAGUGAUGGGUUUGUGUCGGACACUUACACGCGAAGCAUUGGUUGACUUGUCGUGGCUAUCAAAACAGUUUUGGGCCAUGAGGCAUAGGAGUUGGCGCGGCAUGAGAUGUCCCCAACAACAAGAAUCGUAUGGAGAUACGAUUAGCAAGAGUUGCUUACCGAGUGAUCUUGUCUUCUAGCGGUGAUGCAAAAGCUCACUAGUUGACAUGUUGAUCUUGGAUCUUGAAUCAUUAAGUAUCAACCGAGGGAUGUUGAUUUUAGUGGGAGUAAUGAUCUUAUGUUUAAUAUGAAUUACUCUUCAGGAAUACAUGUCUUAGUGUUUUGCAUAUUUCUGUUGUAGAUCAAUGGCACCACCUAAUCAAGUUACCCCUUUUGCGUUGAAAUCAAUCCUGGAAAAAGAUAAAUUGAAUGGAACAAACUUUACCACCUGGUAUAGAAACCUGAGAAUUGUUCUUAGGCAUGAGAAAAAGGAACAAGUUCUAGAGAAUCCUCUUCUAGAGGAACCUGCCGAUAAUGCUAAUGCCACGACCAGAAAUGCUACCAGAAACUCAUUGAUGAAUCAAACGAGAUCAGCUGUCUCAUGCUGGCUUCUAUGGAGCCCGAUCUGCAACAGAAGUUUGAAAAUAUUGAGGCUUUCGAUAUGAUCGAGAACCUUAAGAGCAUGUUUCAAAUGCAGGCUAGGACCGAAAGGUUCAAUGUCUGGCGAUCCUUGAUAGAUUGUAAGCUGAAAGAGGGUGAUCCACUAAGCCCGCACGUGAUCAAGAUGAUCGGGUACAUUCAAGCUCUCGAUCGGUUGGGCUUCCCACUUGGGGAUGAGUUUUCCAUAGAUAUAAUUUUGGGUUCUCUUCCGGAUAGCUAUGGACCGUUCAUCUCGAACUACCAUAUGCAUGGGAUGGAAAACAAGCUCACUGAAUUGCAUGGGAUGCUCAAAAUGGCAGAGCGGAUAUCAAGAAAGGUACGCAUCGUCAAGUGUUGAUGGUGCAGAAAUCGGCUAAGUUCAAGAAGAGUUGGUCCAAGAAAAAGACUAAGGAGAAGGGCAAGGAGAAGGAGGCAACUCCAACUGCCGCCGCUGCGCCUAAGUCAGGGACGGCCUCGGGGAGUAUUUGCUUUCAUUGCAAGGAACCCGGUCACUGGAAAAGGAACUGCAGCAAGUGGCUUGCCGAGAAGGGCAAGAAGACUGGAAGUAUGACUUCUUCUUUAGGUACACUUGUUGUAUAUAUUAUAGACAUUUAUCUUUCUGAUGUUUCUAUUAGCUCUUGGGUAUAUGAUACCGGGUCGGUUGUUCACAUAUGCAACUCAAUGCAGGGGCUAAGCAGAACUAGGAAUGUCGCAAGAGGAGAAGUUGACAUACGCGUCGGGAAUAAAGCAAGAGUUGCUGCAUUGGCCAUCGGCACUAUGCAACUUAAUUUACCUUCAGGAUUUGUAAUAGAACUUGAUAAUUGUUAUUAUGUUCCUGCUUUGAGUCGAAACAUUAUUUCUGCCUCAUGUUUGAUGAGACAAGGUUAUGAAUUUAGUAUUAAGGACAAUUGUUGUUCUAUUUACUUGAACAAUAUGUUUCAUGGCUUUGCACCGAUUGUGAAUGGGUUAUUUAUCCUAGGUAUUGAAGGUGAAUCAGUCUAUAACAUAAAUGUCAAGAGGCAUAAGCCUAAUGAGAUAAAUCUGACUUACAUCUGGCAUUGUCGACUAGGACACAUUAGUCAAAAGUGCAUGAAGAAGCUCCAUGAUGAUGGAAUUCUAACUUUGUUUGAUUUUGAAUCAUUCGAGACAUGCGAGUCUUGCCUACUCGGCAAGAUGACUAAGACUCCUUUUGCAAAGAGUUGCGAGAGGGCGUCCGAACUAUUGGAACUUAUACAUGGUGAUGUAUGUGGACCAAUGAGCACGACAGUCAGAGGUGGUUUCCAAUACUUCGUGACUUUUACCGGCAACUUGAGUAGAUAUGGAUAUGUCUACUUGAUGAGGCACAAGUUAGAAACUUUUGAAAACUUCAAGGAGUUUCACAACGAAGUGGAAAAUCAACUCAGCAAGAAAAUUAAACUUCUACGAUCUGAUCGUGGCGGUGAGUAUAUGAGCCAGGAGUUUGAUGACCAUCUGAAGAGUCAUGGAAUAGUUCCACAACUGACUCCUCUAGGUACACCAUAGAGAAAUGGCAUGUCAGGAUGGAGGAAUCGGACUUUGUUGGACAUGGUCCGAUCAAUGAUGAGUAAGUCGGAUUUACCCUUGUCAUUUUUGGGAUACGCUCUAGAAACUGCAGCUUUCACACUAAACAGGGUACCGCCUAAAUCCGUAGAUAAGACACCAUAUGAGAUAUGGACUGCGAAGAGUCACAGUUUAUCUUUUCUAAAAGUUUGGGGAUGUGAAGCAUAUGUCAAGCGACUCCAGUCAGACAAGCUCACACCCAAAUCGAACAAGUGCAUAUUCGUGGGAUAUCCAAGGGAAACCUUGGGAUAUUACUUCUACAACCGUGAAGAGGGCAAAGUUGUCGCUCGACAUGGAGUUUUCCUUUAGAAAGAGUUUCUCAAUUGGAAGGCUAGUGGGAGGACGGUCCGACUCAAAGAAAUUCGAGAACCACACGGGAACGUUCCGGUAGGUGAUUCUGUCACGACAGAAUUAGUCAGGGAACCUGUGGUGGAGUCGACGUCGGUUCCACAAAGGUUGGAAAGGUUACGCAAUUUGCAUGACUGCAAUGUGUUGUUCUUGGAGAAUAACGAGCCGACUACAUAUGCGGAAGCAAUGGAGAGCCCUAAUUCCGAGUUAUGGAUUGAGGCCAUGAGAUCCGAAUUAAAGUCCAUGGAUGACAAUCAAGUUUGGAACUUGGUUAAUCUGCCAGAUGGCAUUCGAGCCAUUGAGUGCAAGUGGAUCUUUAAGAAGAAAACUGAUAUGAACGGAAAUUUCAUAGUCCAUAAGGCUCGACUUGUUGCUAAAGGUUAUCGACAAGUUCAAGGAGUUGACUACGAUGAGACUUACUCACCGGUAGCGAUGCCUAAAUCAAUUCGGAUCAUUCUUGCUAUAGCGACAUAUUUCGACUAUGAGAUAUGGCAGAUGGAUGUCAAAACGGAUUUCCUUAAUGGAAAUUUAACCGAGGAUGUGUAUAUGACACAGUCCAGGGUUUUGUCGAUCCAAAGAAGUCUAGCAUGGUAUGCAAGCUUCAGAGAUCCAUUUAUGGAUUAAGGCAAGUAUCUCGGAAUUGGAACAUUCAUUUUAAUGAAGCGGUCAAAGAGUUUGGCUUCAUCAAGAACGACUGUGAUCAUUGUGUAUUCAAGAAGGUCAGUGGGAGCUCAGUUGCAUUUCUAAUCUUAUAUGUGGAUGACAUAUUAUUGAUUGGAAAUGAUGUUCAAAUGCUUGAAUCUGUCAAUGACUCAUUGAAAAAUAGUUUUUCUAUGAAGGACUUGGGAGAAUUGAUGUCGCUUGAAGCUACGUCGGUAUUUCCCCAAAGAGGAAGGGAUGAUGCAGCACAACGGCGGUAGGUAUUUCCCUCGGAUAUGAAACCAAGGUUCUCGAACCAGUAGGAGAACCAAGCAACAGAACGUAAACAGCCCCUGCACACAAAUAACAACCACUCGCAACCCGACGUGUUAAAGGGGUUGUCAAUCCCUUUCGGGUAACGGCGCCAGAAAUUGGUGCUCCGACGGGAGAAAGUUGUAAUAGAUUGAAUAAAUAGAUUGCAAAUAAAAUAAAGUGCAACAAAGUAAUUUUGUAUUUUGGGAUUAAUAGAUCUGAAAAUAAAAGCAAGGAAAAAGUAGAUCGCAAAGGCAAAUAUAUGACAAAGAGAUCGAACCCACUAGAAAGCACCUCCUCCCUUUCUGUCACUGGGAUCAAGCACCGUAAGAUCGAACCCACUACAAAGCACCUCUUCCCAUUGCAAGAUAAAUAGAUCAAGCUGGCCAAACAAAACCCAAAUAUCAGAGAAGAAAUACGAGGCUAUAAGAGAUCAUGCAUAAAAGAGAUCAAAGAAACUCAGAUACUUACAUGGAUAUAAAAAGAUAGAUCUGAUCAUAAACGCAAAGUUCAUCGAUCCCCACAAACACACCGCAAAAAGAGUUACAUCAUAUGGAUCGCCAAGAGACCAUUGUAUUGAGAAUCAAUAGAGAGAGAGAUAGGGGAAGCCAUCUAGCUACUAACUACGGACCCGAAGGUCUACAAAGAACUACUCACGCAUCAUCGGAGAGGCACCAAUGGAGGUGGUGAACCCCAUCCGAUAUGGUGUCUAGAUUGGAUCUGGUGGUUCUGGACUCUGCGGCGGCUGGAUGAAUAUUUCGUCGACUCCCCUAGGGUUUCUGGAAUAUUGGGGUAUUUAUAGAGCAAAGAGGCGGUCCGGGGGGCACCCGAGGUGGGCACAACCCACCAGGGCGUGCCUAGGCCUACUGGCGCGCCCCGGUGGGUUGUGCUCUCCUCGGAGCACCCCCCAGGUGCAGCCAGGGCCCAUUACGUUCCUUCUAGUCCAUAAAAAAUCUCUGCAAAGUUUCGUGGCAUUUGGACUCCGUUUGAUAUUGAUUUUCUGCGAUGUAAAAAACAUGGGAAAACAGCAACUGGCACUUGGCACUAUGUCAAUAGGUUAGUACCAAAAAUGAUAUAAAAUGACUAUAAAAUGAUUAUAAAACAUUCAAGAUUGAUAAUAUAACAGCAUGGAACGAUAAAAAAUAUAGAUACGUUGGAGACGUAUCAAGAAGCAGCUUAAAUUUUGGGAAUCGAGAUCUAUAGAGAUAGAUCGAGAAGGCUUAUUGGAUUAAGCCAGAGUGUGUAUAUUGACAAGGUGUUGAAGCGGUUCAACAUGCAAGAUGCCAAGAAGGGUUUCUUACCCAUGUCACAUGGCAUUAGUCUUAUCAAGACUCGGAGUCCUUCGACUCCUGAUGAGCGAAGACACAUGGAUGGGAUUCUGUAUGCUUCGGCUGUUGGGUCCAUCAUGUAUGCUAUGGUAUGUACUCGUCCCGAUGUUAGCUUUGCUCUUAGCGUGGUGGGCAGAUACCAGGCUGAUCCAGGUGAGAGUCACUGGACAGCUGUUAAGGAUAUCCUUAAGUACUUGAGAAGCACUAAGGAUAUGUUCCUUGUUUAUGCAGGUGAGGAUGAGCUCGUUGUGAAGACUUACAUCGAUGCUAGUUUCCAAACCGAUAAGGAUGAUAGUCGAUCGCAAUAUGGGUUUCUGUUCAUUCUGAACGGAGGAGCAGUGAGCUGGAGGUACAUUGUGGCUUCUGAAGCUGCAAAACAAGAUGUUUAGGUGAAGAAUUUUAUUUCUGAUCUUGGUGUGGUUGAGAGCGUGUCCAAGCCAUUGGACUGCUAUUGUGAUAUAGUGGUGCCAUCGUGCAACUCAAGGAACAACGGAAGAGGUGAUGUAAACAUAUGUGAGGUACAUACGGAUGCAAAUGUUGCUGAUCCAUUGACGAAGCCUCUCCCACGGCUGAAGCAUGAGGUGCACAUGAGCUCCAUGGGCAUACGAUGCCUAAAUGAUUGACUCUAGUGUAAGUGGGGGACUGUUGGAGAUAUGCCCUAGAGGCAAUCAUGUGAUGAUGAUAUUUCCAUAUGUAUUCAUGAGUCAUUUGUAUUGUCCUUGAACAUCAUCAAUGAUAUGUAUCAAUAAGUAUGUGACUUGUUUGUGGAACUAUGUAUUGUAUGUUGAUUGUUCUAAUGGUCCCUAGUCGAUAAGGUUAUGCGGACACAUAUCCUUAACUAGUAUACGACUCGGUUGAUGACUAUGUUUCACAAGUCAUGUGCAUGGAGAUGCUAAACCGAUAAUAUGGACCCGGGGAUGGAGAUCACCGAGUCAGACAGACCAACUUUGAGACGCGGCGAGAUAUAGUCAUCUGUUAGUCUCAAGUACAAUGUCUAUGCCAUGUCCUAGACCUGAGGUCCUCGCAUGUUCUCGGGAUGAGGAUCGACUCACUUAGGGUCUAUCAAACGCUACUCCAUAACUAGGUAAUUAUAAAGGUAGCUUUCGGGUGAGUCUGAGACAUGCCGCGAGACAUGGUUGACCAAGAUGGGAUUUGCCCCUCCUAUUUGGAGAGAUAUUCUUUGGGCCCUCUCAAGUGAUCAGAUUCAGAAAGCAUGGCCAUGCGACUUGGGUUAAAUGUUAACCCAGUUUGGGAAUCUAUAUUACGGUUUCGAGAAGAGAGGUUGAGCUAUCACAAGGGUGACAAGUACUCGCCUUGAGAUCGACAAUAUAUAUCGUGAGGCAAAAGAAAUGUUGCAUAUGACACAUUGUCGAGGUUUGUCAAACGACUUUACGCACACAUGGGAGUUGGCACGUUCUGCUAGGAGCUGCUACCAACUAUCGACUUGGUCGUGUCCAUGCGUACGUGAACCUAUGGGGCGCACACUUAAGGGGCUGCAGCCCAUUCGGAUUGGAUCCUAGUGAAAAUGGAUGUGUACUCCUAGUGGGCUAAGUGUUGAGCCCACCUCGGAGGUCUAUAUAAAGGGGAGUGGGCAUACCACUUAGGGUUAAUCUUUUCUAACCCUGGUUAGCCACCGCCACUCCCUACGUCCAUGAUGUGCGACCAGACCUAGCAGUUCGCCGCCCCCGCUGCACCCCGCACGUGUGGAUACAUUGGAGGUAUCACAUCUGCGGUGCUUGGACGAACAGUUCGAGGGAACCCCGAGGUGCCGUUCGCGGGAGAUCACCGUUCACGGGUCUUCACUGUUCCCGGGAGAUCACCGUUCACGGGUCUUUGCUGUUCAUGGGAGAUCGGCGACGCUAGGAGGAGACGGCCCGGAUAUGCACAAGUGAUGACAAGCUGCACAAAAAAGAGAAGUGUUGCUCUGUUGGGCUAGUCUAGAUCUCAAACACUAUGCCCAGAAACAGGUUGGUCUGGUCGGAGUGUUCCGGUGAUCAAACAUUGGAUUAGGCGAUCAUGGGAGAGGGCUUCUAGGAUUUUUUUCAUUUGAAUUGUUUAAAUGGGUGUUUUUUCCAGAAUGCAUGCCUGAUUCAUCCACACUAGGUGGUAGAUUCUGUGACCCAUGCUUGGUAGUUCCUGUGUCCACGGAGGGGAUGGUUUUUAGGCCGAGUGUGAUGCACCCUCUCCAUUUGACGGCUUUAGCUCGUUGAUUUGUGCGUGUCAUCCUUGCGCAGGGGUCAUGCUAAUCUUCUCUGUAUCGUUCCAAUUUUAUCGGAUGUCCCCGAAGGGACUUCAGCUUGUUGAUUUGCAUGUUCUGUUGUCGUUGGUUUUGUGCCCUAGCACAUGUCAUUGUGUUUAAGUUCUUGUUUCCUUCUUUCACAAAAAAAAGUUCUUGCUUCAUUUGUUUUGUUCAGUUGUCAACAUUUGUAUGGUUAUUGGGUCGUCAUUUGUUGGAAUUAUUUUUUGUCUGGUGUUAGAUAUUGUCACAUGCAUAUUUUUUCAAAUUUUGAAAUGUUAAUUAAUAAUAAUUAAGUAAUGUUGUGUGACUUCAAUUCUUAGAAGGAAUUACAACUUCUGAGUACUUACUUAAAAAUUUUAAACCAUGUCAUGCAAGUUGGAUUGACACAACUAUCCGGCAAAAAUGAUUCAAAGUGUGUGAAUAAUAUGACUUUCUCAAAUAUAUUAUUUCGAUCUUAAUUUGGAUCUUCGCCCUAAUCAAAUGAUACAGUAGAUAAAAUGACAUCUCUGAAUAGACCAUUGCAAAAAUGGAGUUUAUUUGCGUUUAGAUUUAUUUAAAAAAAAUCCAAUUGUCAGGAAAUCCUUCCCUCUGGAUUCCACAGCAUGUGUCUUAUGCAAUGAAGAUGAGAUGGAGGACAGAACCCAUUUAUUAUUUGCAUGCUCAUUCAGUCAAAAUUUCCGAUGGAAUAUUGAUUUUGAAUGGAACACUGAUUUGACUGUUCAUGACAUGAUCUCUGAUGGCAAAUUAAGACAUAAUCUACCUUUCUUCAUGGAAAUUGUGACUGUUGGAUGCUGGAGUAUAUGGAAUCAGAGAAAUGGCUUGAUAUUUGAAGAUACACCAUGUUCCAUAACCUCAUGCAAAUUUGACUUCAUCAAAACUUUCAAGCUCACCAUGCUGAGAGCAAAGCCUAGCUUCAAGGAUGGCAUGUCAUCCUGGAUAGACAACAUUUGAACAAUAAUGUAAUUUAUUUUUAUACCUUUUGUAACCUUCUCACUCUGGUUGUUCCCCCAACAACCAUUGUACCCAGCACCUUUUAGUAUUUCUUAUAAUGAAAAUGACACACAGUAGGGUUUUUGCCCUACUGUUUUAUGGUCGAUUUUUUUCCAAUUAAUCAUAUAAUAAAAAAUGAGGGCAGAUAAUAUGAAUCCUCCAUAAAUAAUACUGGAAAAAUGUUUAAUAGUGUUUGAAUAUUUGGUUAUUUUAAUAUAAAUUUUGGUAUUUAUAAGACCCUAAAACUACUUUAGGAAUUUAAAAUAAAUUUAAACGAUUUGAUUACAUAAAAACCUAUUUAUAAAAUUUACAUGGAGAAUGAAAUAUCUUUCCUAGACUCUCCAUAUUUUAUUGAGCCUAUUUUCAUUUUCUAGACAUUUUUGGCAACUAUAAGAGGCCAUAAUCAUUUCCAUAUAAUUAUUUAAAUACGAAAAUUGUCAACGAAAACCACAUAAAUUCUAAUUGGGCCAUAUGUCCACUUUUGGCUCAUCCUAUUCUCUCUCUCUCUCUUCCCACGCCCUACACCGUGGCAUUUCCUAUUUGGCGCUGCAGGCGCCGGUUUCUACUAUUUUUGCUAACCGGCGCCUGCAGCAGCUACUCGCGGGCCGUCCCAUCUCACCUCCCUUUUUCUGCUGAAAAAGCAAAAACAGCGCGGGUGAAGAAAAUCGAACCAAGGACCCCACAGAUCGAACCACACCGCAACAACCACCAAGCCAACACGCCCGACGUGGUUACCCAUUAUUCCGACUUUUCUUAUUUCUUAUUUCCUCUUUCCUUUUUCCUUUUUUCCUCUUUCCUUUUUUCCUGGUUUGGUGAUUUCUUUAAAAUUCGUGAAGUUUUCUUAAAAUGGACGAGUUAUUUUCUCAAAACUGAUUUUNNNNNNNNNNNNNNNNNNNNNNNNNNNNNNNNNNNNNNNNNNNNNNNNNNNNNNNNNNNNNNNNNNNNNNNNNNNNNNNNNNNNNNNNNNNNNNNNNNNNNNNNNNNNNNNNNNNNNNNNNNNNNNNNNNNNNNNNNNNNNNNNNNNNNNNNNNNNNNNNNNNNNNNNNNNNNNNNNNNNNNNNNNNNNNNNNNNNNNNNNNNNNNNNNNNNNNNNNNNNNNNNNNNNNNNNNNNNNNNNNNNNNNNNNNNNNNNNNNNNNNNNNNNNNNNNNNNNNNNNNNNNNNNNNNNNNNNNNNNNNNNNNNNNNNNNNNNNNNNNNNNNNNNNNNNNNNNNNNNNNAUUCAAUGAUUUUUUUUUCAAAUUUGAUGAGCUUUUUCUAAAUUUUUGAUUUUUUUUAAAUUCACAAACUAUUUUCAAUUUUGAUGAACUUUAUUGAAAUUUGAUGAUUUUAUUCUCAAAACUGAUUAUUGUUUCAUUCAAUUCAAUGAACUUUAUUCAAAUUUGAUAAUUUUUUUCAUUUUUUUGAAAAUCCAUGAACUCUUUUCAAUUUGAUGAACUUUUUUGAAAUUCGAUAAACUUUUUUAAAAAAUGGAUGAACUUUUUAUCAUUUUUAUGAACUUUUUUCAGAAUAAAUGAACUUUUUUCAAAUCCAAUGAAUUUCUUUUUCAAAUUUGUGAACUUUUUUCAAAUCCGGUGAACUUUUUUUCAAUCAAAAAAUGAAAAAAGUUCAUCAAUUUGAAAAGAGUUCACGAGUUUGGAAAAAAAUCAUCAUAUAAGGAAGAAAAAUGAAAAAAGGGAAAAAGGAAAGAAGAACUUAAAAUCAUCAUAUAAGGAAGAAAGUGAUGUAACCUAUUGGAUGUGCCGUUGUGGAUUAGGAGCUCCCCUACACCGUAGUCCAAGCCCACAUUUGGUUUUCCUUUCUUUUCUCUUUUAUUUUCCUUUCGGCCUAGUUUUGCCCAAUUAAAUCCCAUAGAUAUUUAGCCCAUGGACACGACGCGACAUCUCCUCUGUAUGCUAUGUAUCGCCUAAUGCGAGCUGCAGCGUUCGCUCGAGUCAGGGAUCCUCGUAAAUGGGCGGGCCAAGCUAGGUAGUUGUUCCUCUCUUUUUUCCUAGUUUCACAUUUUCUCUUUUUUUGCCUUAUUCUUUAACUUUUUAUUAUAUUUGGAAAAAUUAUAAAUAUAUAUAUAUAUAUAUAUAUAUAUUAUAAAAAUCACUUUAUAUACAAAAAUGGAAAAUGGUAAUCAUGCAAUUUCCAAAUGUUAAUCAUGUAUAAAAAUGGUUUUCAUGUAUACAAAAAAUGUACAAUGCAUCUGGAAAAGUGGACAUAAAAAUAUAUGUUUUUAAAAUGCUAAUAAUGUAUUUAAAAAAGUUAUGUGUUUUAAAAAUGUUAAACAUGUAUAAAAAAUGUUUAUGAUGUACACCAAAGAAGUACAAUAUGUAUGGAAGAAACUAGACAUCAAAGAUAUAUAAAAAAAAUAUGAUUAAAAUUGUUAGUCGUGUACCUCAAGAAAGUUAAUCGUGUAUUCUAAAAAUGUUAAACAUUUAAAUGUAUAAUGUGUAUGGAAAAGUUUACAUAAAAAAUGUGUGUUUUAAAUCAUGUGCUAAAAAAAUAUAGAAUGUGUAUGGAAGAAACUAGACAAUGCGAGAAAUAGCUCUCACGCGUUACUACCACCAGGAACAUAGGAGGAGCAUGCUACAGCCAUGGCGCCCCUCACCUCUUCCUCUCCCUCUUACACUUAAUUCGUUCAUCCUUUCAACUUGCCAGGAACACAAAAAAUCCUUAGAAUUCCAGGUAUAAUUCAUCUAGGGGAAUAAAACCACACUUUGAUGACUUAAUUAUCCAAAUCGACCUCAUGCACCAAAUGCUACUAGUUGUCAACGAAAUUCCAAUCUCUCUUCGCGACCUAUAACCAUGGGGAGUUUUGAGCCCCAUGGGGAGUUCAUCGCAGCCCCAUGCCAUUGUCAUAAGUUUUGACCCCCAUGGGCGAGUCGUUUAUGUCACUUAUGCGUCCAAUUUCUUCCAUCAGAGAACCUUGCUUUGACCUCUUCAACAUCCAGGACAUGGUGGUGCACCCAUUCAACAACAUUGGCCGCGACGACACCAAACCAUGCCAUGACACUGUUUCUAUGGAGCUUCCGUGAUGGAUUUGCAUUGCCGAAGUCGCUUGAUGCUACACCUACGUCUCCACCGUGACAUCAGGAAGACCGCCGACCUUCCCAUAGACACAAAAGACACCCAUAUCACCAAGUGUUGCUUCAUCAGUCCUCGACACACAUCGAUCAACUACGAUGAGCAUCUUUCGCUCAACCUCACUCUCUUAUUUCUUGUCCAAAGUCAACCUCAUGUUUAUUAGUUCUCCUUACACAUGCUUACCUGAGACCAUGAUAUCCUUUGAACAUCAACUUGUAUACUCCAUGUGCUCUUGAACUCACGUGAUUAUAUUUUGUGUCAUCUUUCAAAAGAAUCAAACUAUUCUUCCACAUACUCCCUCCGUUCGGAAUUACUUGUCUCGGAUAUGGAUGUAUCUAGAACUAAAAUACAUCUAGAUACAUCAUUUCUGCGAUAACUAAUUUCGAACGGAGGGAGUACAUUCCUAGGAUCUUAUCAUCUAUUGUGUGGCAUAGUGACAUUUAGGUUAUACUUGGACCCAUUUGAAAAUAUUCAAAACUCAACUGAAAGCCUUUUUUUAGCACCUCGAGAGGAGGCAGGGGUCCUGCAUUUCAUUAAAAAAAGAGAAUUGUCCAGUUAAUUAGAAAUAACCGGGCUAAAACCCAACACACACACACACAGAGAGAGAGAGGGGCGAUUUAGGAGCUCAUUACUGCAGCUGAUCAUCUCUAUUUUGUUAUUCAGGACCAAAAACAAACUCUCCUUAUAGGUUUCUUUCUUUCUCAACUGCCCCCUGGGUUGUAACAAAAUUCUUUGACAGUGCAAGAUUGAGAAAGUCAGGGUACUGGCCUACUGAUUUUAAACUUCAAAGAGCCUGAGUGAAGCAAAGGGCCAAACUAGUUGGUUCUUUCUGAAAUAGGCCGACACAUUUGCUGUUCUGAGAUCCACUGUGAAGCAGGACAACAACAACAAAAAUAAAGUGGAAACACGUACUCCCUCUGUAAAGAAAUAUAUGAGUAUUUAGAUAACAAAGGGAGUAGUUGCCUCCCACGGCUAGCAUGACACUUUAAUAAUUGAAUUCCACAUCAGUAAAACGCUAACCACGGGGUCACCAUUUGCAUGGAGAAAGACGAGAUAGCCAAUCACCUGCAUGGGUAUAUAUAUGGCACCCUUGAACACAACUCCAAGCAAUGCAUGUCUAGAGCCUCAAAGUGUUAGCACCACCUCAUUUUUCAUAGAGGAAAUAGUGGAGAGCAGUAUAUGAACACGCCGAAGAGGAGUUGGUGACGGAGCCCAGUUUAGUAUUGGAAUUCACCCUCAAAAUGUCAUUUGGUGACUGCUACGGCCUACGGUGGUGCCGGAGACAGGUGACGCAUGUUACCGCCAAGCUCAGGGAAUUCUUCAGCCUCGCUCGAAUUUUUACUUCUUGGGUGGUUGUCAACAAAGAUUAGAGCUGUCAUUUUGGUUUUGUCAUGCCAAUGUAAAUGUGGCUUGUAACUUGGAAGACUUUUAUUAUAUGAAUGAGACACAUAGGCCGCUCGGACCGGAGUGUGGCGUUGCAAAGACCGGGCUCCAUGGAGCUCGUUUUGCAAAAAAAAAAAUCAAAAUAUAUAUAAAAGUUUCAAAAAAUGCCAAUUUUUUUGUACAAAUACAUAUGCAUAUUCUUUAAGUAUGUAUAAAUUUUCAGUAACUAAUUUGAUCAUCUGCAUGCUACACAAAAAAGACAAAUAUCUGACACAAAUACAACAAAGAAAAAGCCUAUUUCAAUCUGUGUAUUUAUCUUUUUUGUAUACACCACAUAUGAAUACAUAUGUUUAUGAAAAUUUGUACACAUAUACUUCAAGUAUAUGUCUAUAUGAAAACAUUUUUUCAGAUUUUUUUGAGUUACGGAAAAGGUAUUUUGGCUGAGAAAUAUAUAUAGAGCUCAGUGAAGCUCGGCCUCUGCAGCCACUUUUCGGCUCGGACCGCCCCAUCUCAUCUCCUCCUGCCUACCUAGCAGUUGCCAAAGGAAACUUUCAAGAGAAGUCUCUCUGCCUGAUGGUUGCGGCGGGCUCAUCUCCUCACGUUGCUAGGAGCCCUUCGGCUCGAGCGCAGCGGCAGCCCUAAACGCUGCACGCUUCGGCGGAGCCCAAGCGCCAGGGCGGCGGCCGUGCUGCUAUGCUGCAGGGUUAUUGUGGCGCUGGCAACAUAUCUGGCCCUGCAUUGGCCGACGACAAGUCGACAACUGCUGGCGGCGAUCUAGCCAGCGGUCGGGAUGAUGCUUUUUGCAUCUUGCUCGUCGGGAGCAUCUGGCUUACAUCAUGUCUUCUGUGGGCAGCGGUGAGGUGGAUCUAGUGCGACCUGAUUUGAUGAGGGUCGGUUUCCUUGUCUCGGACUCCUACCGGUGUGACAUUGAAUGAGGGGUGCGCGAUAUAGCCAUUUGGCUUCUCACGCCGGUAUCCUUUUGGCGGACACCCAUCGGCACGGGUACUGGCGGUGGUGCGACUAGAUCCACCUCCUUUUGCUCGUCGAGCAGCAUGCGGAGGCCCCAAAAUAAUUCCCGGUGCCUUCCAGUCCCAGGCAACCUGUCUGCAUAUGUGUGAUAUAUAUGGUGGUCGCCACUAGGAGGUGAUAAAAAGAAGGUAUGGGAAGACCUAUAGGCGGCAUGUUAGCACGUUGAUGUGAAGACGCUUUGCCCGAGUCACUGUAUUUAUCAGAUUAUUCAUGGUCUCUAUGCUAUGUGAUUCUCAAAUAUGUCGCUUUAUUUUGGUUCGCUUUUAUUCGGGAACGCUAGGUUCUCCUAUGGCUCAAGUUGUUGUGUGACAAGAUGCAUCUAAUGGUUACUCCUGCUGUCCAGGUGCACCGCGACCAAGGCAGAAGGGAAAAUGAGAGAACCUAAAAUUUAUUUGCUAAUUAAUACUUCCUCCAUUCCAUAAUGUAGUGCUUCUUCUAUCCACGUGUUUCAACUUUGACCGUAAAUUUAACUAUCAAGACCGAUGGUGGUGGGAGCAAAAAUUAUAUCAAUGAAUUCGUAUUCGAAAGAAGUUUUCAAUUAUAUAAUUUUUCUCCCGCCGCAGUUGGUCUCAUUGGUUAAAUUUAUGGUCAAAGUUGCACCUCGGAAAACGCGGGCGCACUAUAUUUUGAAAUAGAGGGAGUAGCAUUUCAUGCAAGGAAUUAACCAGUGCAUGUCGUGUUUAGUAGUCUUAAGUCACUGAAAACAUACAUGCCUCACAUCUCUUAUUGGUUCGUUCCUAUAUUUAUAUCAAGAAACAAGAAACGAGGUGAAAGUUAAUACAUCGCACCUAAGUGUUUUGAGAUUAUUUGAUUUUUGUUAGAUGAUUUAUACACCUAGAUGGAGGGAGUACUAAGAAAAUGUGAAAUUCACAACCGAUAUUUAGUCAAUACAGACCCAUCCGACCCGCAUUAAACCAUCAUUCCUUCUACACCUAACCGUAUUUUGUUCUGUCAUAGACUCGCAUGCGUUUCAGAAGAUUGCAUGUGUCUUCUUGACUGACGACUAUAUAGAAAGAUUCGUUGGAUGCAAUCACAUUUUGUUGGAUUUGUUCAAUGCUGAUUUCCCUACAUGCAAAAUCAAUUCAGUUUUUAGAAUAUUUUGCAGAGAGAGAGAGAGAGAGGCAUCUCUGUUCUCUAAACAGGCCAUAUAAAGUAACACAUGAAGAAGUAGGGCGCUGAAGAAUACAAGAUGGUUACGUAGCCCUCUUACAAAGUCAAUCUUGAGAUAGAUGACACAUGGAUAGCACAUGCGACUACGUUACCUACGACGAACACCAAGAAAACUAAUCACACCCAUGCUACGACCUAGCAUACCUAAACUCCAUAACAACGCCCACAAAGGGAAACCGGCGCAGAGCGUCACCGUUACCGAGUCCACACGAGACAAAGGUCUUCACACGGAGCCUUGACACGGAGAGAAUAAUCAUGACAACAUCUUCGAAGAAAGCAGCACCCACGGGUGUCGUCGUCGUCGACUCCAAGGCAUAAAGCUUUUGCUCGGCAUGUCACACGUGUCACUGCGAGGUCACUAGGAAGAACAUGGCGAUGCUAGAUCCCUAGAUCCGGAUCAGGACACCGCCCCUCCAAGAAGUGGGCACGUCCGAGCUACCUGCCGCAACACCUCCCGUUGUCCACACAACCCAAGAGGAGAGCCAUCACCAUCGCAAUGAUACCCGCCGGAGAGCAACUACGUGGACCACAAUCCGGAGCCGCCACCUUGGCAUUCCUGUUGCUAGAUAGUGUAUGCCGCUCACAUCACAGUGCACUCAACCACGAUAGGAAGAGCGACCAUACUCCAUCUAUUCUUAGCCCGGCAUUAGUCCUCGAGUCUGGGUAAGAGCCUCCACUGUAGGAGACCCCCACACCUGCGUCCCCUGCCACGCGUCUCUUUUUGUUCGAAAAUACAUUAUUUCGUCUCAGAUAUACCCAACCAGCCUCCGCAUGGCAACGAAAUUAUUUGACAGUGCAAGCUUGAUGAAGUCUGGUACUGACCUAUGGAAUUAACAGAGAUGGAAUAGGAACCAAAUUCAGGUAUAUGAGAACCUGAACUGGAGCUGUAGGACUGUACGUCCAUGUGGCCAAUUAAGAACAGAAGAUGGAGGUGCAUGAUUAUCAUAUGGAUGGCAGUGAGGAAGCGUUCCCUUGUUUCAGUUUGAAGGAUACAGAGCUUUGGAAUAAAUUGCUCACCCGCUUUGGGUGAAGCCAUAAGCCAACAAAAUAGGGUCUAAAUCAUCUUGCAUUUAUCAAUCUCGCAAUCUAUCUAACAUCCUGGUUAGUAAUCUUGGCUCUAAACAAACAUCGUAGCAUUACUUAUUUAUAAAAUGCAACCUCGGUUCCUAAACAUAAGAGCAUUAUAAUUUGAACUGCGAAAACGACUUACAUUUAGGAACAGAGGGUGUAAUAAAUAGCAAUAUAUGUGUACCGACUUAGCAAGAAGAAAAGUAUAUAGAAACAUAUUGUAUUGAGAACUCCAGAUAUCUGUGUCCAUAUGCGCAGUUAAGGAAUUUGGCAAUCUUCAGAAUACAUGCCAUUGGGUAGUUGUGACUUGUGACAUACUGAUAUAUUUAUGAGCCCCAAUCGAUCAUCAUUAGAAAUCAUGAAAAUUGAAUACUUUAAGAAAUUGUAGAAUACAUCAUGAUCAACAUGGAACAAUGUUCAUCAUGAAAAUUGAAUACUUUAAGAGCAUUAUAAAUCAUGGAACAAUAGAAACAUAUUGUAUUGAGAACUCCAGAUAUCUAUCACUGACUCGAAGAACUACGAUCUAGCGCCAAAUGGAGUCCUUUUUAGGGAAAUUAAUGCCCUUGCUAUGUUGCAUUUUAGUUCUUUUUCUAUCUCUUUUUGCCCACGGGUUUGUAAUAAUAUUGCGGAUGCUCUAGCGACGCACGGGUCGAAGAUGGUGCAUGUGUCCCAAGCCGUAUGGCCGGGCGCUGCUCCUAAUUUUAUCCGAGACUUGAUUGCCGGCAAUAUUGCUGGGCACAGUGGUUAAUUGAAAUGAAAUUUCAUAUUUCAAAAAAAAAUCAAGCUAUUAUAUCAUCUACAGCAACAAUUUCUCAAAAAAAAAUCUACGGCAACAACUACAUGCAGUCAUUUCUAUAAAAAAUGCAGCCAUGCAUUUCUGUAUACUGUUACUGGUGCACGCUACAAAUCCAUGUGGGGUGCGAAUUGACGGGGGAUUUCAGGGUCGCAGAUUCACUGGCGGCAUCGGCAGGCCUUGGUGGAGAGCAGAGAACACAUUACAGAAGGUCAGGCGGGAGUUGAGUUGUGGCCUUUGGGCCAAGACACAUGGCUGCGGUUCUUAGAAGAAUCGGUGCGACUCUGCGGUCUUGACUGGACUACAUUCAUGCGACGGACACAUGCACAUGACCGAAUUCUCAUGGAACACCAGGUUGAGGCCCCAAAAUAAUUCCCGGUACCUUCUAGGCCUAGCCAACACAACGGCAUGCUUGAUAUCUUCUCUUUGGAUGUAUAUAUGAUCUAUGUUGAACGUCACUAGAGGAACCGGGAGCACGGAGGAGGCUUGGAAAGCUAGGACAUGCAUAUUGUUGAUGUGAAGACACUUUGCCCAAUUCAUUCCAUUUAUUAUCAGAUUAUUAGUACUCAAUAUGGUGACGAUGUCAUGUAUUCAACAUUUAUCCAAUAGUUUAAACUCAAGAUGGAGUUUGAGUUGAAACCAUGCAAUGGUCUGGUUUGCUUAUCUAUCUAGGUUAAGAGCUUAAUCGAUUUGGUACCAAUAAUUAGCAAGUCAAAUGUUGGCAGAUCUACAAAAAUCGGUUAAAAUUGCUUGACUACCAACUACAACGCCCUUAUACUACUAUUAUUAUGUAUUGGAGGGAGUAAUUCUCACCAUCUCUAAAAAAAAAUUGGCAACUUUAGAUUGGCAGUGCCGAAUCUUGGCAUUAAAUCAAAAGUAACUAAUUUCCCCUCAAAAUUAAAUGCAAUCCCGCAAUACCAGGCUAGUACUAGCUCCUUUCGAUGACGUCACCCCAUAUCACAUCUUUCCCCCAAUCCAGGAUCCCCGAUCUUCUCCGCCGACGUGCCCGCAGCCCGCAGUGUGGCCUCCCAGCCAGCCAGCCACUCGUCCCGCUCACACAGACGUGCCAUGCCGGCCCAUGCCCUCGUGCGCCGGUUACGUGACGCAAGCGGUGACACACCGAACGAAGGCCCAGAAUCCUCCAGCCGGUACGUACACCACCCGUUCGAUUCGAUCUCCUCUCACACACGUUCUAGCUCUAGUCAAAACGUGCCAGACUAUUCCGGAUACACACGAUCCCACCCUCCCCUCCCCCCUAUAAAUCCUCCGCUCACCUCAUCUUCAUCCUCACUCAUCACCCACACAGCCUACACAACACAAACACAAGCACAGAUCGGUCGAGAUUCAAGGCAACCGGGAGCAAUGGCGGGCGAGAAGGGGCUGGUGCUGCUGGACUUCUGGGUGAGCCCGUUCGGGCAGCGCGUGCGCAUCGCGCUGGCCGAGAAGGGCCUGCCCUACGAGUACGCGGAGGAGGACCUGAUGGCCGGCAAGAGCGACCGCCUCCUCCGCGCCAACCCGGUGCAUAAGAAGAUCCCGGUGCUCCUCCACGACGGCCGUGCCGUCAACGAGUCCCUCAUCAUCCUCCAGUACCUGGAGGAGGCCUUCCCGGACGCGCCCGCUCUGCUCCCCUCCGACCCCUACGCGCGCGCGCAGGCCCGCUUCUGGGCCGACUACGUCGACAAGAAGGUCUACGACUGCGGCUCCCGCCUCUGGAAGCUCAAGGGCGAGCCGCAGGCGCAGGCGCGCGCCGAGAUGCUGGACAUCCUCAAGACCCUCGACGGCGCGCUCGGGGACAAGCCCUUCUUCGGCGGUGAGAAAUUCGGGUUCGUCGACGCCGCCUUCGCGCCCUUCACCGCCUGGUUCCACAGCUACGAGAGGUACGGCGAGUUCAGCCUGCCGGAGGUGGCGCCCAAGAUCGCCGCGUGGGCCAAGCGCUGCGGCGAGCGGGAGAGCG